RNAcentral lists this ribosomal RNA (720 nucleotides) under uncultured Agaricales. RNAcentral describes it as "eukaryotic LSU rRNA". The stretch from base 347 to 500 matches the Rfam family "5.8S ribosomal RNA". Lineage: Eukaryota; Fungi; Basidiomycota; Agaricomycetes; Agaricales. The record is from RNAcentral.
UAGAGGAAGUAAAAGUCGUAACAAGGUUUCCGUAGGUGAACCUGCGGAAGGAUCAUUACUGAAUAAUCAUGAUAGGUUGUUGCUGGCUUUCCUUUAGAGAAGGGGAGGUAUGUGCACACUUGUCAUUUUGUUCUUUUGUUUCCACCUGUGCACUGUUUGUAGGCCCUUAGAGAAGUGUAAUUGAAAUUGAAUAGAUUUUUUUGAGGACUUGUUGAUGCCUGCCCUUUUAAAAAGAUGGCUGGACCAGCUUUUCCUUGUGUCUCUAGGGUUCUAUGUUGUUAUUAUAUACUCCUAUGAAUGCAAUAGAAUGUUGACCUGGGUCUUUGUACCUAUAAAGUUGCAAUACAACUUUCAGCAAUGGAUCUCUUGGCUCUUGCAUCGAUGAAGAACGCAGCGAAAUGCGAUAAGUAAUGUGAAUUGCAGAAUUCAGUGAAUCAUCGAAUCUUUGAAUGCAUCUUGCGCUCCUUGGAAUUCUGAGGAGCAUGUCUGUUUGAGUGUCAUUUAAAUUCUCAACUACACAUAUGUAGCUUGGAUCUGGGAGGGACUUUUUGCAGGCUUUGUAAAUGGAAGGCAUGCUCUUCUAAAAUCAAUUAGCAGUGCCCUAGUGGAACCAAUCUACAGGUGUGAUAAUUUAUCUACACCUUCAGAAGGGGAGGGGUUAGGCUGCUUCUAACAUCACUCUUGAUGACAAUCUUGACCUCAAAUCAGAUAGGACUACCC